GAACCUGACUCAGCAGCAGAGCAUCUGCUUUGCAUGCAGAAGACCCCAGGUUGAGUCCCUGGCAUCUUCA
Non-coding RNA from Podarcis lilfordi (Lilford's wall lizard), 70 nucleotides. Lineage: Eukaryota; Metazoa; Chordata; Lepidosauria; Squamata; Lacertidae. The record is from the annotation of a GenBank genome assembly.